UGAGUAAUACCUAGGAAUCUGCCUGGUAGUGGGGGAUAACGUUCGGAAACGGACGCUAAUACCGCAUACGUCCUACGGGAGAAAGCAGGGGACCUUCGGGCCUUGCGCUAUCAGAUGAGCCUAGGUCGGAUUAGCUAGUUGGUGAGGUAAUGGCUCACCAAGGCUACGAUCCGUAACUGGUCUGAGAGGAUGAUCAGUCACACUGGAACUGAGACACGGUCCAGACUCCUACGGGAGGCAGCAGUGGGGAAUAUUGGACAAUGGGCGAAAGCCUGAUCCACCCAUNCCGCGUGUGUGAAGAAGGUCUUCGGAUUGUAAAGCACUUUAAGUUGGGAGGAAGGGCAUUAACCUAA
RNAcentral lists this ribosomal RNA (353 nucleotides) under uncultured bacterium. RNAcentral's name for it is "bacterial SSU rRNA". It matches the Rfam family "Bacterial small subunit ribosomal RNA", at positions 107 to 463 of the family's 1533-position model. The record is from RNAcentral.